GACGAACGCUGGCGGCGUGCCUAAUACAUGCAAGUAGAACGCACAGUUUAUACCGUAGCUUGCUACACCAUAGACUGUGAGUUGCGAACGGGUGAGUAACGCGUAGGUAACCUGCCUGGUAGCGGGGGAUAACUAUUGGAAACGAUAGCUAAUACCGCAUAAUAUUGAUUAUUGCAUGAUAAUUGAUUGAAAGAUGCUAUUGCAUCACUACCAGAUGGACCUGCGUUGUAUUAGCUAGUAGGUGAGGUAACGGCUCACCUAGGCGACGAUACAUAGCCGACCUGAGAGGGGGGUCGGCCACACUGGGACUGAGACACGGCCCAGACUCCUACGGGAGGCAGCAGUAGGGAAUCUUCGGCAAUGGACGAAAGUCUGACCGAGCAACGCCGCGUGAGUGAAGAAGGUUUUCGGAUCGUAAAGCUCUGUUGUAAGAGAAGGACGGUUGUGAGAGUGGAAAGUUCACACUGUGACGGUAUCUUACCAGAAAGGGACGGCUAACUACGUG
This 505-nucleotide ribosomal RNA is filed under the name uncultured bacterium. RNAcentral describes it as "partial 16S ribosomal RNA". It matches the Rfam family "Bacterial small subunit ribosomal RNA", at positions 28 to 507 of the family's 1533-position model. The record is from RNAcentral.